UAUUUGUAAUUGAUGAAUUUCAAUAUCUGGUAAAAACUGAUAGUUCAUUAUUAUCAAAAUUGCAGGGUUACUGAAAAAAUG
RNAcentral lists this small nucleolar RNA (81 nucleotides) under Ferroplasma acidiphilum. RNAcentral's name for it is "C/D box methylation guide snoRNA". The record is from RNAcentral. Lineage: Archaea; Methanobacteriati; Thermoplasmatota; Thermoplasmata; Thermoplasmatales; Ferroplasmaceae.